RNAcentral lists this unclassified non-coding RNA (335 nucleotides) under soil metagenome. RNAcentral describes it as "partial contains 5.8S ribosomal RNA, internal transcribed spacer 2, and large subunit ribosomal RNA". The stretch from base 1 to 120 matches the Rfam family "5.8S ribosomal RNA", at positions 35 to 154 of the family's 154-position model. The record is from RNAcentral.
GAUGAAGAACGCAGCGAAAUGCGAUAAGUAAUGUGAAUUGCAGAAUUCAGUGAAUCAUCGAAUCUUUGAACGCACAUUGCGCCCGCCAGUAUUCUGGCGGGCAUGCCUGUUCGAGCGUCAUUUCAACCAUCAAGCCCCCGGCUUGUGUUGGGGACCUGCGGCUGCCCGCAGGCCCUGAAAACCAGUGGCGGGCUCGCUAUCACACCGAGUGCAGUAGAUUACUCUUCGCUCAGGGCGUGCAGCGGGUUCCGGCCGUGAAACCCCCUACUUUUAAAGGUUGACCUCGGAUCAGGUAGGAAUACCCGCUGAACUUAAGCAUAUCAAUAAGCGGAGGA